RNAcentral lists this ribosomal RNA (877 nucleotides) under uncultured archaeon. RNAcentral describes it as "bacterial SSU rRNA". It matches the Rfam family "Archaeal small subunit ribosomal RNA", at positions 1 to 873 of the family's 1478-position model. The record is from RNAcentral.
GAAUUCGCCCUUUUCCGGUUGAUCCUGCCGGACCUGACUGCUAUCGGAUUGAUACUAAGCCAUGCGAGUCAUUGUAGCAAUACAAGGCAGACGGCUCAGUAACGCGUAGUCAAUCUACCCUAUGGACGGGGAUAACCUCGGGAAACUGAGAAUAAUACCCGACAGAACAUUAUGCCUGGAAUGGCUUAUGUUUUAAAUGAUUUAUCGCCGUAGGAUGGGACUGCGGCCUAUCAGUUUGUUGGUGAGGUAAUGGCCCACCAAGACUAUUACAGGUACGGGCUCUGAGAGGAGUGGCCCGGAGAUGGGUACUGAGACACGGACCCAGGCCCUAUGGGGCGCAGCAGGCGAGAAGACUUUGCAAUGUGCGAAAGCACGACAAGGUUAAUCCGAGUGGUUUCUGCUAAAGAAACCUUUUGUUAGUCCUAGAAACACUGGCGAAUAAGGGGUGGGCAAGUUCUGGUGUCAGCCGCCGCGGUAAAACCAGCACCUCAAGUGGUCAUGAUGAUUAUUGGGCCUAAAGCAUCCGUAGCUUGCUUUGUAAGUUCUCGGUUAAAUCCAUGCGCUUAACGUAUGGGCUGCCGGUAAUACUGCAAAGCUAGGGAGUGGGAGAGGUAGACGGUACUCGGUAGGAAGGGGUAAAAUCCUUUGAUCUAUUGAUGACCACCUGUGGCGAAGGCGGUCUACCAGAACACGUCCGACGGUGAGGGAUGAAAGCUGGGGGAGCAAACCGGAUUAGAUACCCGGGUAGUCCCAGCUGUAAACUAUGCAAACUCAGUGAUGCAUUGGCUUGUGGCCAAUGCAGUGCUGCAGGGAAGCCGUUAAGUUUGCCGCCUGGGAAGUACGUACGCAAGUAUGAAACUUAAAGGAAUUGGCGGGA